GACGAACGCUGGCGGCGUGCUUAACACAUGCAAGUCGAACGAUGAAGCCUUUCGGGGUGGAUUAGUGGCGAACGGGUGAGUAACACGUGGGCAAUCUGCCCUGUACUUUGGGAUAAGCCUUGGAAACGGGGUCUAAUACCGGAUAUCACUUACCUCCGCAUGGGGGUUUGUUGAAAGUUCUGGCGGUACAGGAUGAGCCCGCGGCCUAUCAGCUUGUUGGUGGGGUAGUGGCCUACCAAGGCGACGACGGGUAGCCGGCCUGAGAGGUGACCGGCCACACUGGGACUGAGACACGGCCCAGACUCCUACGGGAGGCAGCAGUGGGGAAUAUUGCACAAUGGGCGAAAGCCUGAUGCAGCGACGCCGCGUGAGGGAUGACGGCCUCGGUUGUAACUACUU
This 399-nucleotide ribosomal RNA is filed under the name uncultured bacterium. RNAcentral describes it as "bacterial SSU rRNA". It matches the Rfam family "Bacterial small subunit ribosomal RNA", at positions 28 to 435 of the family's 1533-position model. The record is from RNAcentral.